AGCUAGUAGGUAGGCAUGGCUCACCUAGGCGACGAUCCGUAACUGGUCUGAGAGGAUGAUCAGUCACACUGGAACUGAGACACCUCCUCAGACUCCUACGGGAGGCAGCAGUGGGGAAUAUUGGACAAUGGGCGAAAGCCUGAUCCAGCCAUGCCGCGUGUGUGAAGAAGGUCUUCGGAUUGUAAAGCACUUUAAGUUGGGAGGAAGGGCAGUAAGUUAAUACCUUGCUGUUUUGACGUUACCAACAGAAUAAGCACCGGCUAACUUCGUGCCAGCAGCCGCGGUAAUACGAAGGGUGCAAGCGUUAAUCGGAAUUACUGGGCGUAAAGCGCGCGUAGGUGGUUCAGCAAGUUGGAGGUGAAAUCCCCGGGCUCAACCUGGGAACUGCCUCCAAAACUACUGAGCUAGAGUACGGUAGAGGGUAGUGGAAUUUCCUGUGUAGCGGUGAAAUGCGUAGAUAUAGGAAGGAACACCAGUG
RNAcentral lists this ribosomal RNA (478 nucleotides) under uncultured Pseudomonas sp. Its description in RNAcentral is "bacterial SSU rRNA". It matches the Rfam family "Bacterial small subunit ribosomal RNA", at positions 243 to 714 of the family's 1533-position model. Lineage: Bacteria; Pseudomonadati; Pseudomonadota; Gammaproteobacteria; Pseudomonadales; Pseudomonadaceae. The record is from RNAcentral.